Erigeron canadensis is the source of this 2137-nucleotide RNA transcript. It is a transcript of the gene named elongation factor 1-alpha-like, with no coding region annotated. The transcript has 4 exons. The record is from RefSeq and is a predicted model, not a curated record. NCBI's taxonomy places the organism in Eukaryota, Viridiplantae, Streptophyta, Magnoliopsida, Asterales, Asteraceae.
GGCAUGAUCAAAGAAAGAGGAGGUGAAUUUUUAGGGUUUUUAACUGCAGUCAAAAUAUUCAGUCGUCUUUCCCCCACUUUCAUCUGUGUACGGUGGCCGGCUGGUUCCCUCAACCUAAUUUAUAACAAACGAUUUUAAGCCAGCCAGCUUAUUUAUCAUGGGUAAAGAAAAGGCUCGUGUCAACAUUGUGGUCAUUGGAGAUGUCGAUUCUGGGAAGUCAACCACCACAGGCCACUUGAUGUACAAGCUAGGUGGAAUUGACAAGAGCGUGAUUGAUGGGCUUGAGAAAGAGGCUGCUGAGAUGGACAAAGUAUCAUCCAAAUAUGCUUGGGUGUUGGACAAGCUCAAGGCAGAGCGUGAAAAAAAUAAAACUAUUGACAAUUCAAUCUGUAAAUUUGAGACCACUAACUAUUACUGCACUGUCGUUGACACUCCUGGGCAUCGUGACUAUCUGAAGAACAUGAUCACUGGAACCUCCCAGGCUGACUGUGCCCUUCUGAUCGUUGACUCAACCAUUCCUAAUUUUGAAAUAGGAAUUACCACUGGGCAGACUCGUGAACAUAUUUUGCUUGCAUUCACACUUGGUGUCAAGCAAAUGAUCUGCUGCUGCAACAAGAUGGAUGCCACUACACCUGAAAAAUACUCUAAAUUUCGGUAUGAUGAAAUUGUCAAAGAUUUGGCUUUCUACUUGGUGAAAUACGGAUACAACCCUACAAAAGUCCCAUUUGUCCCAAUUUCUGGUCUUGAGGGCGAGAACAUGACUAAGAGGUCACCUCAACUAAACUGGUACGAGGGGCCAACUCUACUUGAAGCCCUUGACCGGAUCAAUGAGCCAAAAAGACCAUGCGACAAGCCUCUCCGCCUUCCAAUUCAUGAUGUUUACCACAUUGGUGGUAUUGGUACCGUGCCUGUUGGGCGUGUUGAAACUGGUGUGAUGAAGCAAGGGAUGAUGGUCACUUUUGGCCCAAGUGGCUUGACAACUGAAGUCGACUCUAUUCAGAUGCACAAGGAAGCACUGCUUGAGGCAUUGCCAGGAGACAAUGUUGGUUUCAAUGUUAAAAAUGUUGUUGUGAAGGAUCUUAAACGGGGGCACGUUGCUUCAAACUCUAAGGAUGACCCUGCAAAGGAGGCUGCUAGUUUUACUUCUCACGUCAUCAUCAUGAACCACCCGGGUCAGAUUAGAAAGGGAUAUGCACCGGUGCUUGAUUGCCAUGCUUCCCAUAUUACUGUUAAGUUUGCUGAGCUAUUGAGCAAGAUUGAUCGGAGGUCCAUGUCUUGUAAAGAGCUGGAGGCAGAGCCAGAGUUUUUGAAAAAUGGUGAAGCUGGAAUGGUGAAGAUGAUUCCAACAAAGCCGAUGGUGGUUGAGACUUUCUCUGAGUAUCCUCCAUUGGGUCGGUUUGCUGUGAGAGACUUGAGGCAGACUGUUGCUGUGGGCGUGAUUAGGAGUGUGGAUAAGAAGGAUCCAACCGGAUGAAUGGUGGUUUGUUCAAUGAAUAGCUUGAAACUGAGUUUAAGCUUUAAACUAUUUUGUUAUGUUUUUAACUUUAUGGGUUUGGGCUUGUGGGUAUGGUGGUUCUGAAGUUGUUAUAGUACUGUAGGAUAUUAGUGCCGUAGGAUAUUAGUGCCUUCAAAAAAAAAUAAAAAUGAUAUUAACUAAUCAAGUAGCUUCCUUGUUUACUGUAGGACAUUAGUGCUUGAUAGGCGUUGGGGUUGUAUUUUGAUUACAUGUAAACUCUGGUUACAACAAGUAUAACUCCACCUAACUUCAAAAAUCAUGAAAGUACCAAAAACAUGGUAGAUGUGCAGUUUGUGUAUGACAAUUGAAUGCGAUUUUGAAAGGAGGUUAUUGGGCAGAUAAAGGCUGUGCAGGUAUUCGAAAAGCAAAGGCAAUGCUUGGUGUUCAGGAAUUGGUGAUUUGACAUUGCAAGUGGCUUUUGUGUUGCGCAUUGUUGCACAAAAGAGUUUUUGAUUAUGUAUCAGGGGGUUACUUAGCAUUAGUUGUCUAGAAUAUUUAGCAGUUUAUAUGGAUUGGUUUGAUGUAUAGUUUUAAGUGGGAAUUUGGAUUUGUAAAUGAUGGGCAUGUCAUCACAGAGAAAGUUGUUUUUUGUGUGUAUAAAAGUAUGUGAUUACUAGAAUU